UACGUAGGUGGCAAGCGUUGUCCGGAUUUACUGGGCGUAAAGGAUGCGUAGGCGGACAUUUAAGUCAGAUGUGAAAUACCCGAGCUUAACUUGGGUGCUGCAUUUGAAACUGGGUGUCUAGAGUGCAGGAGAGGUAAGUGGAAUUCCUAGUGUAGCGGUGAAAUGCGUAGAGAUUAGGAAGAACACCAGUGACGAAGGCGACUCUCUGGUCUGUAACUGACGCUGAGGCGCGAAAGCGUGGGGAGCAAACAGG
Molecule: ribosomal RNA, 253 nt
Filed under: uncultured bacterium
Lineage: Bacteria
Description: partial 16S ribosomal RNA
Rfam family: Bacterial small subunit ribosomal RNA
Source: RNAcentral